Molecule: unclassified non-coding RNA, 354 nt
Filed under: soil metagenome
Description: partial contains 5.8S ribosomal RNA, internal transcribed spacer 2, and large subunit ribosomal RNA
Rfam family: 5.8S ribosomal RNA (bases 2-119)
Source: RNAcentral
GUGAAGAACGUAGCGAAAUGCGAUAAGUAGUGUGAAUUGCAGAAUUCAGUGAAUCAUCGAAUCUUUGAACGCACAUUGCGCCUUCUCGUAUUCUGGGAGGCAUGCCUGUUUGAGCGUCAUUAAACCUCUCUCAAGUAUGAUUACUUGGAUGUGAAGGAAGAGUACCUUAAACUUAAGGAGUGUUCUCCUUUGAAAUUGAUUAGCAGAUGGUAAUGUUAUUAAAUCCCUGAUGUUGUAAGAAAUAACAGUGGUUUUGUAGACUAUUAUCUAGCUUUAAAUUAUAAUUUUUAUUAUGGUUGACCUCAAAUCAGGUAAGGAUACCCGCUGAACUUAAGCAUAUCAAUAAGCGGAGGA